UAUUGGGCAAUGGACGCAAGUCUGACCCAGCCAUGCCGCGUGCAGGAUGAAGGCGUUAUGCGUCGUAAACUGCUUUUAUACAGGAAGAAACGACUCUUGCGAGAGGCAUUGACGGUACUGUAUGAAUAAGCACCGGCUAACUCCGUGCCAGCAGCCGCGGUAAUACGGAGGGUGCAAGCGUUGCCCGGAUUUAUUGGGUUUAAAGGGUGCGCAGGUGGUUUAUUAAGUCAGUGGUGAAAGACGGUCGCUCAACGAUUGCAGUGCCAUUGAAACUAGUAGACUUGAGUAAAGUAGAGGUGGGCGGAAUUGAUAGUGUAGCGGUGAAAUGCAUAGAUAUUAUCAAGAACUCCAAUUGCGUAGGCAGCUCACUUGGCUUUUACUACACUCAGCACGAGA
This 396-nucleotide ribosomal RNA is filed under the name uncultured bacterium. RNAcentral's name for it is "bacterial SSU rRNA". It matches the Rfam family "Bacterial small subunit ribosomal RNA", at positions 362 to 758 of the family's 1533-position model. The record is from RNAcentral.